This 292-nucleotide ribosomal RNA is filed under the name uncultured bacterium. RNAcentral describes it as "partial 16S ribosomal RNA". It matches the Rfam family "Bacterial small subunit ribosomal RNA", at positions 505 to 796 of the family's 1533-position model. The record is from RNAcentral.
GUGCCAGCAGCCGCGGUAAUACAGAGACCGCAAGCGUUGUUCGGAUUCACUGGGCGUAAAGGGUGCGCAGGUGGUUGGAUGUGUCGAAUGUGAAAGCUCGAGGCUCAACCUCGAAACUGCAUCCGAAACUAUCCAACUAGAGUGCUGGAGAGGGAAGUGGAAUUCACGGUGUAGCAGUGAAAUGCGUAGAUAUCGUGAGGAACACCAAUGGCGAAGGCAACUUCCUAGACAGCAACUGACACUCAGGCACGAAAGCGUGGGGAGCAAAAGGGAUUAGAAACCCGAGUAGUCC